AUGGCCUUUCGAAUGAAUGAAAAGGUAGGCUUAAAAUCAAAUAUCUCCCUCCUUUCUGCUAUCCACUCUCAGGGGUUCCCUUAGCCAUCAACUAAGGAAGAAACACCUAACAAAGAUGAUCAUAGACAUUUUGAGGUGUGGAGAGCAAAGUCAGGAAGGUAUCAUGUUAUUUCUCGGAUGGCUAGAGAUAUUUUACCAAUUCCUAUAUCCGUUGUUUCAUCUAAGGCAACAUUUAGCACUAGUGAGUGUGUUCUUGAUCCCUAUCGUAGUUCCUUGAAUCCGACCAUAUAAGAGGCUUUGAUCGACACUCAAUAAACUAGUUAAGGUCCUCUAACUCUAAGAUUGCUUGUAAGUUAAAUGUUGCAGUUGCUAUAGCCAUAAAAGUUGAAAUAAGCAUGAACGUAUGAAAAUUCUUAUUUUAAUUUUUACUUUAAUCUUAUAUUUUAGUUACUAAUAUAUUUUAUUUUCUCAAAUUAUUAGAUGUGUCAUUAGUGACAGAACAUAAGGAGCUAGAAGUAACAAUGUUUUUGAUACUAGGGUAUAUAAUUUACAUUUGUUUACUAUUAGAGUUUAAAUUUGAUUUGUUUAACUUUGUAUACUCGAAUUGCAGUUUGAACUUACGGGUUGACACUUGGUAGAUUUUUGGAGAUGGCAGGUACUUCAAUGAAGAUGAUUAUUGCAAAUCCUUGAACAUCUCUCACAAGCUUGCUUCGUUUGUCUUCAUCUUUAUUCCUUGUGGAGAGAAGUUCUUUAGUGCAUUAAAUGCUUGGAUUAAAUGUAUUUCACCAAAAUUAUCACUUCUUAUAUGAUUAAGGAAGCUACUUAUCACCUUUUAUGUUCCAAA
Non-coding RNA from Cajanus cajan (pigeon pea), 844 nucleotides. NCBI's taxonomy places the organism in Eukaryota, Viridiplantae, Streptophyta, Magnoliopsida, Fabales, Fabaceae. The record is from RefSeq and is a predicted model, not a curated record.